Molecule: ribosomal RNA, 496 nt
Filed under: uncultured bacterium
Lineage: Bacteria
Description: partial 16S ribosomal RNA
Rfam family: Bacterial small subunit ribosomal RNA
Source: RNAcentral
AUGAACGCUGGCGGCGUGCCUAAUACAUGCAAGUCGAGCGAACAGACGAGGAGCUUGCUCCUCUGACGUUAGCGGCGGACGGGUGAGUAACACGUGGAUAACCUACCUAUAAGACUGGGAUAACUUCGGGAAACCGGAGCUAAUACCGGAUAAUAUAUUGAACCGCAUGGUUCAAUAGUGAAAGACGGUUUUGCUGUCACUUAUAGAUGGAUCCGCGCCGCAUUAGCUAGUUGGUAAGGUAACGGCUUACCAAGGCAACGAUGCGUAGCCGACCUGAGAGGGUGAUCGGCCACACUGGAACUGAGACACGGUCCAGACUCCUACGGGAGGCAGCAGUAGGGAAUCUUCCGCAAUGGGCGAAAGCCUGACGGAGCAACGCCGCGUGAGUGAUGAAGGUCUUCGGAUCGUAAAACUCUGUUAUUAGGGAAGAACAAAUGUGUAAGUAACUAUGCACGUCUUGACGGUACCUAAUCAGAAAGCCACGGCUAACUACGUA